This is a non-coding RNA of Pantherophis guttatus, 8465 nucleotides long. The record is from RefSeq and is a predicted model, not a curated record. Lineage: Eukaryota; Metazoa; Chordata; Lepidosauria; Squamata; Colubridae.
UGUAUGAUUCUAUGGUCUAAAGUUGAUUUUCUUACCAUGCUAUCCUUGUUUUGUGAUUUCUUUUGCAAACAAAACAUUUGGCAAGAGUGUUUUGUACUUUAGCUGAUAUUCAGAGACUUGCAGUAGAAUCUCUGGCUAUUAGUGUAGAUAAGUGAGAACGUGGUUCCUUUGAUUCCCAUGGUCAAUUGCAGCUCCAGGGUUUUCACUUAUUAUCUGGUAAAGAAAAAGAAAACAGCAUCUGUCUGGCAUUUUUGCUUUGAAAUAUCACAUUGGUCUUCUUCGAAUUUCAUUAGAUUUUUCACCAUUAGAACAUUUUACUUUGGAGAGAAAAAUGAUGGAGGGGUACCAUUAAUUCCCUGGAUAUAUUUUUCCAGCUAAUGUGUCAAUUUAAUUUCCAUAUCUUUUCCUCAGUUUCUCCUCUCAUUUGGUCAGACAUCAAUUGAAAUUCUCUCUCAGUUGGUUGGGACCUUUCCUCCUCCUUCUCUCUAUACUAAAUUUGAGAAGCAGAGAUAGAGAACAUUUUUUUAUAUGAUAAAGGUGUAGUAGCUUUCCACAAUGGGUGCCAAGGAGGCCCAGGUCAUACCACAUCGCAUGGUAUAUAUUUUUGUGCAGUGGAAGUCCAUAAGCCUUAAAUUUUCUUCCAAGGUUGGAUAUCCCUGUUCUAAAACAAGGCAGACAAGCAUUUUGUUUGUGAAAUUUUGUGUUCAUCCAUCUCAAGAAAAGGUGUAACAGUACUGGAAUAGAUCCUUGCUGAACUCUGUCUCAAAGUUUUUUAAGGCUCCACUUCUACUGUGUUUUUAAUUUUGCCUAACUUCACCUUGAAUGAGUAGAACUUCAAGCUUUGGCACAUUGGGCAGUGGGCUGGGAAUCUAGUAAAGCCUAGAAAAGCAAUGCUAGUGAUAGGUUUUGACAGAAAGCUUUAAAAUCUAUGAGAGUGCAUAUAAAUAAAUGUGUUAUUUUCCCUACCUGCAUCUCCCAAAAUAACUGUUAUAAUUGGUGUGCGGUCCCUGCCAAAACAAAACAAAUCAAAAUCCAGAGAACAGAAAGAAUGCCUGGAGUGCAAGUGUUAAGUACAUGUUGGCCUACUUUGUUUUAUGUCACCGUUGAUUAAGCGUGUGUCCUGAAGGGAGACAUAAAUAAUUGUAGGUCAAGGGGAAACAAGAUCUGCAAGAUGCCCUGUUUCAUCUGGGUAUGUGGCCUGCGCAUGGAAACUGAAUAACUGUUAAAAAUAGAGGGUUGAUUAAAUAUCAGACUCUCGUUGGCAGCACAUUGUAGCUCCCUGGAGUAAUGGAGGUUCGGUGGGUUGCCAAGGAAACACACAUAACCUUGAGAGGAAAGGUUUAGACUUAUAUCAGCUGGAAUAGCAUUUGGAUCAAUCUGCAGGGCCAACUUGUGUGAUUGCAAGUUGAGUGAAUGAAGAUGAAAAACUGUAAUAUUUUACUCGGUCUAGAGGGCAUUUUGUUGUCUAAUAGAAGAACAGUGUUGCAAAUAAGCCCAGCUAUUGUUGCUUAUUUCUUUCAAGUCAGUUUUCUAAUUGCAGAUAAGCCAACAUAAAAAAAAAUGACUCAAAAAGAUUAUACCUGUUCUUAUUUCUUGAGGAAAAUGAUCCAAAGCUACAUUUAACGUUCAGUGCAUUACUGUGUAUGUUUGUCUGUUUCUAUUUUGAAAGUUACAUUGGGAAUCAAAAUGUUUGAAAAGUUUUUUUUAAACUACAGUCAUAGAAAAAGACCAAAGAAAGACUCCACUUAUGUUUCUGCUCAAAACUAUUAUUAUCCAAUUAACAUAUUAAUGGAUAGUCUCUUGUGCCAUGUACUUGUGUGAAUGGAUGAAAUAUUAAUUUAGGCUCACUUAAAGCAGGCCAUCGAGUAAGGAGUUGUUGUUUUGGAAGCAUGCGAAAGUUGCGGUCUUUAGCAUGCAAUAGGUGGAAAAAUAUGCAGAGUUUUAAGAAGGCAAAAUAAAAUAUGGGUUGCAAGAGAUGAAGUAGUUUUCCGUUCAAGAUGUAGACCUUUUGUGGACUGAAUUAGUAAAUGCACUCAAUUGAAAAUAGGAGGUGUGAGAAGAAAACUAAGACAGGACUGUCCUAGAUCAGGGUGUCAAACUCGUGGCGUCAUGUCAUUACGUCACGUAUCACGACUUUUUUCCCCUUCGCUAAACCAGGCAUGGGCUUGGCCAGCGCAUGACGCAUCUGACCCGCAGGCCGCAAGUUUGACACUCAUGGCCUAGAUAGUUGCAAAUUGUAAAAUUGACUAGAACUGUAGUAUUUUAUAUUCACCACAAAGAAUGAGGAAUUCUGCAACUGGUAUUUGGAGACAAAAUACCUGUUUCACAUCCCAGACAAAAUACCAGUUUUCCCCAUCAUAGAGAAAACAUUAACACUAAUCACCCUCAGAAUAUUUGACCGUUAUGAAUUUAUUCAGAUACUUUUUAAAUCCAUCAACUAGAUCCCACAAAUUAAUUACUUUUGGACACUUAAAAGCUUGCAUGCUACUUUGUAAAUUUUCAGUUGAUGUACCAGUUCAAGGUAGAUUUUGGAUUAUUGAUUUUGGGUUCAAAAUCUAUUACCACUAUUCAGUGAACUAACCAUGAAAGGGAACCAAAAUUCUGGAGUAUGUUUGCUUUGGGUCUUUGAAAUUCCAAACACCAUGUACGUGAUUAAUUCUUUUCUAAGCUAGAGAAUUGCUUUCUGGAAUUUAUUUCUUUGUAGCAAAAGCAGAGAGCAGCUAUUACUCUAAACUGCAGAUUAAGGACCUGUCUGGAUUCUAUAGAUAUCUCAGGAGAAUGGUAAGGGCUAUUUUACUUGAGCAGAUGGCAGCUAUGCGGAAGCUUCCUAGCAGUGAUGUACAUAAUUUCAAUUAAGUCAAAAUAUUUCAUCAGUAUGUUGUCAUAGGAACAAAGAUAUUGCACUCACGUCUCUUUGAGGGAAAAAUGUAAGAAACGUUCCAGAUGGAUGUUGGAGUUGGCUGCCUGCCAGGAUGUACUUCACAAUCUUAAAUUUUGAGAAGGAGCAAAAUACAUGGAGGGGCCAAGAGGCAUCUGAGAGUUCAUCAGGGGAGUAUAUCUGGGGGUGGGGGGAAUCAAUUUUCAGAUGAAUGGAACGACUGAUUUCCCCCCUCUUCCGCUAUAUCUGCUUUAUGCUCUUGCAGCAAACACAACCAAGAUCUUGUGAUACUUUGAAAGGCUAAACAGAUUUAUUUAUUGUGACAUAAGCUUUUGUGGACUUGAGCCUGUUUUGGCAGAUGCACAGUGUUAAAGUCAGUUAGCAGAGUGCUAUGUGUGUUACAUAUCUCACUCCUGUUCUCUCUCCCUCUGUGUAUAUGUGAGAGGUUCUAUAAAGAGAGCAAAAGGCCAUCGGAUAUAAAAGGCAGCUGUCACUUCCUAGAGCCCAAAUGUGUGCAAAAUAAAACAAGCGAUUGUUCAUAUUGGCAGGAAGCAACGAUGGAACUCGGGGUCCAAUUUAAACCCAAACUGAAUAUAAUGAUUUCGGCUUCUACUUGUUUAGCAUCGAAAGUAUAGGAGAAAAAAGAUUCUUGUAAUCCGGUUCAGAAUCCCAGUGGAAUCUUCAUGACAGGCACAAUUUAACAUAUUGGCAUGAGUUUUUGUAGUAUCUUCCUCCACCUUACGCAUGAAAUCAAUACAGAAGAUUAGAGGGUCUCUGCAUAUUCAUGAACAUGGCCGAUGUUGUAGGGGAGAGAAACAUUUGGAUCUGUAAAACAGAUAUUUAAAUGCAUCUUCCUGUUUUUCUGGCCUCAGCAAGAGAGAAACGUAUUGUCGUAUGCUGCUCACCAAGCUGGCUUGCGCUGCUGAAAACACGACUCGCAAGCAAAGCACGAGGUUGUAAACAGGUUUAAUUCUCAUUUCUCAGUGUAGUCACAUACGAACGUUAGAAAUAACACAAAGUCAGCGUUGGGGUCGGGCGCCUCCCAGUGCCUUUUUAUCCAUGUUCAAAUUAAGCCGGGAGUGGCCAUAGCCAAUUGGCAUUACUUCCUGGCCCAGCCCUUCUCUUUGCGGUGGCUGGGAAUGCCUCCCCUUCCAGUCAUUCUACCCUGUCCCGGCCGCGGGGUGACCGACCUCUGAUUCCAGGCUUAACACUUCCCCAUCACCAAUGUGCAAAGCUGCAGCCAGCGUAGACACCCCCCCCAUCACCACGGUGCAUCCAGCGGGAACGUCGUUGUUCGGUAGGAUUCCCUCCUUCAUCGCUGGAUCUGCGGUGACUCCCCCUCCCCAUUUUCUGUCGAGUUGACUUGACACUCGACAGGCGGCCCCCUUUACCAGGAGUCCACCUGCAAGACAUGAAAGAGAAAGGUUAGAUUACAGGACCGGGUUUCUGUGGGUUGGUUUUAUGAUACCAUCUUAAAAGCCUUGUGGCGUUUAGGUCUGUUGCUGCCACCCAGGACGCUUCCACUAAGGGAUACCCAUUCCAUUUGACCAGGUAUUGUUGUCUGCCAUGACGGACCCGGGAAUUGAGAAUCCCGUCUACUUCGUAAUGGUCAUCCCUUAUAGUUCGGGAGGUGGGAUAUUUACCUGGUUGUCCACCGGCUUUAACAAACUGCAGUGGAAGACGGGGUGGACCUUUCCCAGAUACGGUGGCAACUGCAGGACCACGGUAACCAGGUUGACCACUUUAUGAACCCAGAAUGGACCUAGGUACUGAGGACUUAGUUUCUUGCCUGGGGUUUUUAAUCGUAUGUAUUUGGUGGAGAGGUACAGCUGAUCCCCUACUUGAAACAGUUUAUGGGUAGCCCGCUUCUUAUCGGCAUACGCCUUAUAUUUGUCCAUUGCUUUGGCUAGUGCGACUUUUACUUGUGGCCAUACUUUACUGAUACAGCUACUCCAUUCAUCUGGGGACACUUGUUCCUUGUUCUGGUCAUCUAAUUCGGGAAUGGCCCUAAAUUCUUUGCCGGAGACAAUUUUGAAAGGUGUGGUACCUAUACUUCGAUGGACUGUAUUAUUAUACGCUAUUUCAGCAAAAGGCAACAGGUCUGCCCAAUCGUUUUGUUGAUAGGACACGUAGCAACGUAGGUAGCGUUCCACCAUGGCGUUAGACCGUUCCGCAGCCCCAUUAGUACUAGGAUGAUAGGUGGUACUUAGACCUUGGGAGGAGCCGAUUGCUGUUAGGAAGUUGCGCCAAAAGCGGGCGGUGAACUGAACGCCCCUAUCCAAGAUGAUUCGUGGGACACCAUGUAGCCGGUAGACAUGUUGGAUGAACAUCCUUGAGAGUUUCCUAGCCGAUGGCAACCCGCUACACGGAACAAAAUGAGCCUGCUUAGAAAAGAUGUCCAGAUGACGGUAUUCCCACUACUAUUGGAAAGGUCUACCACAAAGUCCAUAGCGAUCUCCUCCCAAGGUUCCUUAGGGUUAGCUACUGAUUGUAAAAGUCCCAAAAGCCGCCCAGACCGUGGUUUUGUUGUUGCGCACAUUGAGCAUUCUUUUACAUAUUGUUUGAUAUCUUUCCGCAGUUAUGGCCACCAGAACUGACGUCUGGUCAAAUGUAAUGUCUUGAGGAAACCAAAAUGACCGGCCAGUUUUGAGUCGUGACAUUGCUGUAACACUGCUCACUGUAAAGCCGCCGGUACAUAGAUGCAAGAUCCCAUCCAUGCAAUCCCAUUUCGGUGUGUCAAUAUCGAUUUUUGGGUAUGAAACCAAGGGUCCCUGCCCGUCUCGUGACGUAGGUCCGUUUGCCAUGAGUGUUCUCUAGUAUUCAAGCAGUCUUCGCUUAGGCCUUUCGGUAUCAUCGCCUGGACAACCUCUUCUCUUUUGCUUUGAAAUUGAGGCAUUCACGACAAAGUGUCCGCCAGAAAGUUCUGUCCUCCAGGCACAUAUUUCAGGUCGAACUUGAAGCGCUGGAAAUAUUGGGCCCAAUGUAUCUGUUUUGGGGACAACUUCCUCGGCUUUUGGAGGGCCUGUAGGUUUUUAUGAUCGGUCCAUACCUCAGAUUUGGUACCAAUCCCCUCCAAGAGGUGUCGCCAAGUAAGUAAGGCCCACCGGACUGCGAAAGCCUCUUUUUCCCAGGUUUAAUUCUCAUUUCUCAGUGUAGUCACAUAUGAACGUUAGGAAUAACACAAAGUCGGCGUUGGGGUCGGCACCUCCCAGCGCCUUUUUAUCCAUGUUCAAAUUAAGCUGGGAGUGGCCAUAGCCAAUCGGCGUUACUUCCUGGCCCAGCCCUUCUCUUUGUGGCGGCUGGGAACACCUCCCCCUCCAGUCAUUCUGCCCUGUCCCAUCCGCAGGGUGACCGACUGCCUCUGAUUCCGGGCUUAACACCUCCCCAUCACCAAUGUGCAAAGCUGCAGCCAGCGUAGGCACCCCACCACCACCACGGUGCAGCCAGCGGGAACGUCGUUCGGUAGGAUUCCCUCCUUCAUUACUGGAUCUGCGGUGACUCCCCCUCCCCAUUUUAUGUUGAGUUGACUUGACACUCGACAUGUAUGCCAUAAUCUUUUUUUCAAUUUUUAUUUCAUUGGUUUGCAGUUUCUGAUCUGUCUUUUUCUGCAAAAAACAUAUCUACUCCAUGUUUUAUCUUUGCCUAAUAAUUACUUCCCCUUGCAGUUGCUUCUAGACUGAAGUCUGCAUGCUUUUUACUCUGUCGUCCAUGAAAAUGGAACAGAAAUAAUAAGCAAGUUAAUUACUGUUUUCCGGUUUAUGAUCUAGAAACCAUAAAAGAAAAGGAGGGAAAGCACAUGUAAAACUUGCAGCUGUUUAUUCAAUAGAUUUAAAUCCUAAAUUUCCACCAAAAAUAGCACGUGAGAGACAGUUUACAACAAAAUUACGGAAGAGAUACCUAUAAAAUAUGUCUCUUUAUAAGAUUAACAAAUUAAUAGAAUAACAGAGUUGGAAGGGACCUUGGAGUUCUUCUAGUCCAAUCCCCUGCUCAGGCAGGAAACCCUAUAAUAUUUCUGACAAAUGGUUGUCCAAUCUCUUCUUAAAAACUUCCAGUGUUGGAGCACCCAAAACUUCUGGAGGAAGUCAUUCUCCACUGAUUAUUCUGUCAGAAAAUUUCUCCUUAGUUCUAGGUUGGUUCUCUUCUUGAUUAGUUUCCAUCCAUUGCUUCUUGCCCUACCUUCAGGUGCUUUGGAAAAUAGGCUGAUCCCCUCUUGUUUGUGACAGCCCCUUGGAUAUUGGAAGACUGCUAUCAUAUCACCCCUAGUCCUUCUUUUCACUAGAUUAGAUGAACCCAAUUCCUGCAACUGUUCUUCAUAUGUUUUAGCCUCCAGCCCCCUAAUCAUCUUUGUUGCUCUUCUCUGAAACUUUCCAGCAUCUUUUUCAUAUUAUGGCAACCGAAACAAGAUGAGGUAUUCUAUGUGUGGUCAUACGAAGGCAUUAUAAGAGCAUUAAAGGCAUUAUCAAUGAAAAACCUAUCAAAAUUUGGGUGCAGAAUUUAAUUUAAAUUGGAAACUGUUUUGGACCAUUGUAUUGUACAUUAGAAUUGUGCCACAUGCCACACUGAAAAUUUGGGUUCUACAGCUCAUUUUUUUCCCCAAUAAUUUUUUAUUUUUAAACAAAAAUAAAACAUAAAAAUUCAAAGAUACCGGCUGAACACAAUUGAUAAAGCAAGAACUUUCUAUGACCAAUUUCUUAGAGAAAAAGAAAAGGAAUGCAAUUUGAAAUCCAACCUGUAGUCCCAAUAAAAUUUACAGAAUUAGCAAUACUCAAGUCGACAGAGGGAGCAAUUGGGGGAGCUAUCCAACAAAAGGAACAACGUGAAGUAAGAUCUACUAGAGCAAUAAAACCUACAUAUAAAGUAUGAAUAUGGAAGAAAGGAAAUUAAUUUCAAUAAAUAUAAAUGGACUUAAUUCGGCUAUUAAAGGAAAAAAAGUAUUCCACAAAUUAGAGAAACUAAAAGCUGAUAUAAUUUGCUUACAAGGGGUUCUACAGCUCAUAUUUUGACUUGGUGCACAAUUUAUAGUAGUGGUGGAAUGCAUUAUCUACUGCUUAUAGAUUUAUAAUGACUUGAAUAAUGCUAAUUAAGCUCAACAGACUUGUGGAUUUUGACUCGAAAAUGAAGGUGAAAUAACUUAUGUCUUUAUAUUUCAUACUUCUUCACUGCCCAUCCCACUCAGAGAGGGGCAUAUUAUACAAUAUGCUCCUGAUGAUGUAUUGGAUUAUAUUAGUUAUUUGAUAUUUCAGAUCUGUUGUUGACACACCCAUAUUUUGGUUCCUGUACCUGAUUUUCUUUGUGUUCCUUGUUUCUUAUAUUCUUAUAUAGAUAAUAUUAAUGGGGGGGGGGGAAUAAGAAACAAGCAACAGUAUAUACUAGAUUAAAACUAGUGCUCUGAGGAGAAAUUGUCCUGUUUGUUUGCUACCAGUUCCCAUUUGAUCUAAUUUAAAAAAAAAACUGCUUUCCAACUUUGUUUCAAAAGCAAAGAACAUUAGAUACAUUAAUUCCCACAAUAGAAUAAUGGAAGGUAAAGUGAUGGAGUUGGCAGAGAUGGCAAAAGUGUCUGUUUUCAUUAAAGAGAAGAACCUAUCUA